UAGGGAAUCUUCGGCAAUGGGGGGAACCCUGACCGAGCAACGCCGCGUGAGUGAAGAAGGUUUUCGGAUCGUAAAGCUCUGUUGUUAAGGAAGAACGAGCGUGAGAAUGGAAAGUUCAUACUGUGACGGUACUUAACCAGAAAGGGACGGCUAACUACGUGCCAGCAGCCGCGGUAAUACGUAGGUCCCGAGCGUUGUCCGGAUUUAUUGGGCGUAAAGCGAGCGCAGGCGGUUAGAUAAGUCUGAAGUUAAAGGCAGUGGCUCAACCAUUGUAGGCUUUGGAAACUGUUUAACUUGAGUGCAGAAGGGGAGAGUGGAAUUCCAUGUGUAGCGGUGAAAUGCGUAGAUAUAUGGAGGAACACCGGUGGUGAAAGCGGCUCUCUGGUCUGUAACUGACGCUGAGGCUCGAAAGCGUGGGGAGCGAACAGG
RNAcentral lists this ribosomal RNA (429 nucleotides) under Bacteroidota bacterium. RNAcentral describes it as "Bacteroidetes bacterium partial 16S ribosomal RNA". It matches the Rfam family "Bacterial small subunit ribosomal RNA", at positions 355 to 776 of the family's 1533-position model. The record is from RNAcentral. Lineage: Bacteria; Pseudomonadati; Bacteroidota.